UUUCCGUAGGUGAACCUGCGGAAGGAUCAUUACCACGAAUGGAGCUGCCGCGGACGCUGAGCGCAAGCGAGGUGGUCGUGGCAGUUUCCCAAAACCCAUUCCGUUUGGCGCGGGCUUUAAACCCCGCGCCCGACAGUGCACUCAUUCGUACCACAGGCGCUCGCCAGCCGUUUUUGCGAUAGCCGCGCUUCACCGCGUCGGCUUGGCUGGUUGCAGUCGUCUUAACCCAAACCAAUCGCAAAACACAAACAAACCCAAUUCAAACCACACGCCUCGGCAUGUAAACGAUGUUGCACCGCGGCUUACGCCACGGUACACUCACAAAAAACGCUUACAACUUUCAGCAACGGAUAUCUUGGCUCUU
This 364-nucleotide unclassified non-coding RNA is filed under the name plant metagenome. Its description in RNAcentral is "partial contains small subunit ribosomal RNA, internal transcribed spacer 1, and 5.8S ribosomal RNA". The record is from RNAcentral.